GACAGAGGGUGCAAACGUUGUUCGGAAUUACUGGGCGUAAAGCGCGUGUAGGCGGCUGCGCAAGUCGGGCGUGAAAUCCCACGGCUCAACCGUGGAAGUGCACUCGAAACUGCGUAGCUUGAGUCCUGGAGAGGAAGGUGGAAUGCUUGGUGUAGAGGUGAAAUUCGUAGAUAUCAAGCGGAACACCGGUGGCGAAGGCGACCUUCUGGACAGUGACUGACGCUGAGACGCGAAAGCGUGGGGAGCAAAC
This 250-nucleotide ribosomal RNA is filed under the name uncultured bacterium. RNAcentral's name for it is "partial 16S ribosomal RNA". It matches the Rfam family "Bacterial small subunit ribosomal RNA", at positions 524 to 773 of the family's 1533-position model. The record is from RNAcentral.